RNAcentral lists this ribosomal RNA (460 nucleotides) under uncultured bacterium. RNAcentral's name for it is "partial 16S ribosomal RNA". It matches the Rfam family "Bacterial small subunit ribosomal RNA", at positions 338 to 795 of the family's 1533-position model. The record is from RNAcentral.
CCUACGGGUGGCAGCAGUGAGGAAUAUUGGUCAAUGGACGAGAGUCUGAACCAGCCAAGUAGCGUGAAGGAUGACUGCCCUAUGGGUUGUAAACUUCUUUUAUAUGAGAAUAAAAUGUUCCACGUGUGGGAUUUUGUAUGUAUCAUAUGAAUAAGGAUCGGCUAACUCCGUGCCAGCAGCCGCGGUAAUACGGAGGAUCCGAGCGUUAUCCGGAUUUAUUGGGUUUAAAGGGAGCGUAGGUGGAUUGUUAAGUCAGUUGUGAAAUGUUGCGGCUCAACCGUAAAAUUGCAGUUGAUACUGGCAGGCUUGAGAACAGUAGAGGUAGGCGGAAUGCGUGGUGUAGCGGUGAAAUGCUUAGAGAUCACGAAGAACACCGAUUGCGAAGGCAGCUCACUGGACUGCAACUGACACUGAGGCUCGAAAGUGUGGGUAUCAAACAGGAUUAGAUACCCUGGUAGUC